CCUACGGGAGGCAGCAGUAAGGAAUAUUGGACAAUGGCCGCAAGGCUGAUCCAGCCAUGCCGCGUGCAGGAAGAAGGCCCUAUGGGUCGUAAACUGCUUUUGAACCAGAGAAAACCCCACUACGUGUAGUGGGCUGAUAGUAUGGUUAGAAUAAGCAUCGGCUAACUUCGUGCCAGCAGCCGCGGUAAGACGAAGGAUGCAAGCGUUAUCCGGAUUCAUUGGGUUUAAAGGGAGCGUAGGCGGACUUGUAAGUCAGUGGUGAAAUCUGUGGGCUUAACCCACAAACUGCCAUUGAUACUGCAGGUCUAGAGUACAGUUGCCGUUGGCGGAAUAUGACAUGUAGUGGUGAAAUACUUAGAUAUGUCAUAGAACACCGAUUGCGAAGGCAGCUAACGAAGCUGUAACUGACGCUGAGGCUCGAAAGUGCGGGGAUCAAACAGGAUUAGAUACCCUGGUAGUCCGCACUGUAAACGAUGAUUACUCGUUGCUGGAAAGCAAUUUUCAGUGACCAAGCGAAAGCGAUAAGUAAUCCACCUGGGGAGUACGCCGGCAACGGUGAAACGUCAAAGGAAUUGACGG
This 579-nucleotide ribosomal RNA is filed under the name uncultured bacterium. Its description in RNAcentral is "bacterial SSU rRNA". It matches the Rfam family "Bacterial small subunit ribosomal RNA", at positions 338 to 916 of the family's 1533-position model. The record is from RNAcentral.